UCAAAUUUGAAAUCUGGCACCUUCGGUGUCCGAGUUGUAAUUUGAAGAAGGUAACUUUGGAGUUGGCUCUUGUCUAUGUUCCUUGGAACAGGACGUCACAGAGGGUGAGAAUCCCGUGCGAUGAGAUGUCCAACUCUAUGUAAAGUGCUUUCGAAGAGUCGAGUUGUUUGGGAAUGCAGCUCUAAGUGGGUGGUAAAUUCCAUCUAAAGCUAAAUAUUGGCGAGAGACCGAUAGCGAACAAGUACAGUGAUGGAAAGAUGAAAAGAACUUUGAAAAGAGAGUGAAAAAGUACGUGAAAUUGUUGAAAGGGAAGGGUUUGAGAUCAACUUGGUAUUUUGUAUGUCUUGCUUUCGGUGGGGCCUCUG
This 365-nucleotide ribosomal RNA is filed under the name Scheffersomyces shehatae. RNAcentral's name for it is "eukaryotic LSU rRNA". It matches the Rfam family "Eukaryotic large subunit ribosomal RNA", at positions 109 to 471 of the family's 3401-position model. Lineage: Eukaryota; Fungi; Ascomycota; Pichiomycetes; Serinales; Debaryomycetaceae. The record is from RNAcentral.